Molecule: ribosomal RNA, 747 nt
Filed under: uncultured bacterium
Lineage: Bacteria
Description: bacterial SSU rRNA
Rfam family: Bacterial small subunit ribosomal RNA
Source: RNAcentral
UCGAGCGAUGAAAUCCCUUCGGGGAUGGAUUAGCGGCGGACGGGUGAGUAACACGUGGGUAACCUGCCUCAAAGAGGGGGAUAGCCUCCCGAAAGGGAGAUUAAUACCGCAUAACAUUAGUAUUUCGCAUGAAGAACUAAUUAAAGGAGUAAUCCGUUUUGAGAUGGACCCGCGGCGCAUUAGCUAGUUGGUGAGGUAAAGGCUCACCAAGGCGACGAUGCGUAGCCGACCUGAGAGGGUGAUCGGCCACAUUGGAACUGAGACACGGUCCAGACUCCUACGGGAGGCAGCAGUGGGGAAUAUUGCACAAUGGGCGAAAGCCUGAUGCAGCAACGCCGCGUGAGUGAUGAAGGCCUUCGGGUUGUAAAGCUCUGUCUUUGGGGACGAUAAUGACGGUACCCAAGGAGGAAGCCACGGCUAACUACGUGCCAGCAGCCGCGGUAAUACGUAGGUGGCAAGCGUUGUCCGGAUUUACUGGGCGUAAAGGAUGCGUAGGCGGAUAUUUAAGUGAGAUGUGAAAUUCCCGGGCUUAACUUUGGAGCUGCAUUUCAAACUGGAUAUCUAGAGUGUGGGAGAGGAGAAUGGAAUUCCUAGUGUAGCGGUGAAAUGCGUAGAGAUUAGGAAGAACACCAGUGGCGAAGGCGAUUCUCUGGACCAUAACUGACGCUGAGGCAUGAAAGCGUGGGUAGCAAACAGGAUUAGAUACCCUGGUAGUCCACGCCGUAAACGAUGAGUACUAGGUGUUAG